CUACGGGUUGCUGCAGUCGAGAAUCUUCUGCAAUGGGCGAGAGCCUGACAGAGCGACGCCGCGUGGAGGAUGAAGGCCCUCGGGUCGUAAACUCCUGUCACAAGUUAAGAAACGUACGGGUUCACUCGUACGCUGACGAAGGCUUGAGAGGAAGUCACGGCUAACUUCGUGCCAGCAGCCGCGGUAAGACGAAGGUGGCGAGCGUUAUUCGGAUUUACUGGGCAUAAAGCGCGCGUAGGCGGCUCGGCCAGUCGGAGGUGAAAUCCCGCAGCUCAACUGCGGAACUGCCCCCGAUACUCCGAGCUUGAGUGCAGGAGGGGUGACCGGAACUCCAGGUGUAGCGGUGAAAUGCGUAGAGAUCUGGAGGAACACCAGAGGCGAAGGCGGGUCACUGGACUGCAACUGACGCUGAGGCGCGAAAGCUAGGGGAGCAAACAGGAUUAGAUACCCCAGUAGUC
Molecule: ribosomal RNA, 458 nt
Filed under: uncultured bacterium
Lineage: Bacteria
Description: partial 16S ribosomal RNA
Rfam family: Bacterial small subunit ribosomal RNA
Source: RNAcentral